RNAcentral lists this ribosomal RNA (497 nucleotides) under uncultured bacterium. Its description in RNAcentral is "partial 16S ribosomal RNA". It matches the Rfam family "Bacterial small subunit ribosomal RNA", at positions 28 to 507 of the family's 1533-position model. The record is from RNAcentral.
GAUGAACGCUGGCGGCGUGCCUAAUACAUGCAAGUCGAGCGAACAGACGAGGAGCUUGCUCCUCUGACGUUAGCGGCGGACGGGUGAGUAACACGUGGAUAACCUACCUAUAAGACUGGGAUAACUUCGGGAAACCGGAGCUAAUACCGGAUAAUAUAUUGAACCGCAUGGUUCAAUAGUGAAAGACGGUUUUGCUGUCACUUAUAGAUGGAUCCGCGCCGCAUUAGCUAGUUGGUAAGGUAACGGCUUACCAAGGCAACGAUGCGUAGCCGACCUGAGAGGGUGAUCGGCCACACUGGAACUGAGACACGGUCCAGACUCCUACGGGAGGCAGCAGUAGGGAAUCUUCCGCAAUGGGCGAAAGCCUGACGGAGCAACGCCGCGUGAGUGAGGAAGGUCUUCGGAUCGUAAAACUCUGUUAUUGGGGAAGAACAAAUGUGUAAGUAACUAUGCACGUCUUGACGGUACCUAAUCAGAAAGCCACGGCUAACUACGUG